RNAcentral lists this ribosomal RNA (497 nucleotides) under uncultured bacterium. Its description in RNAcentral is "partial 16S ribosomal RNA". It matches the Rfam family "Bacterial small subunit ribosomal RNA", at positions 28 to 507 of the family's 1533-position model. The record is from RNAcentral.
GAUGAACGCUGGCGGCGUGCCUAAUACAUGCAAGUCGAGCGAACAGAUGAGGAGCUUGCUCCUCUGACGUUAGCGGCGGACGGGUGAGUAACACGUGGAUAACCUACCUAUAAGACUGGGAUAACUUCGGGAAACCGGAGCUAAUACCGGAUAAUAUAUUGAACCGCAUGGUUCAAUAGUGAAAGACGGUUUUGCUGUCACUUAUAGAUGGAUCCGCGCCGCAUUAGCUAGUUGGUAGGGUAACGGCUUACCAAGGCAACGAUGCGUAGCCGACCUGAGAGGGUGAUCGGCCACACUGGAACUGAGACACGGUCCAGACUCCUACGGGAGGCAGCAGUAGGGAAUCUUCCGCAAUGGGCGAAAGCCUGACGGAGCAACGCCGCGUGAGUGAUGAAGGUCUUCGGAUCGUAAAACUCUGUUAUUAGGGAAGAACAAAUGUGUAAGUAACUAUGCACGUCUUGACGGUACCUAAUCAGAAAGCCACGGCUAACUACGUG